GGAACUUUAAGGAAACUAGGCAAAUUAGACUCAUAACCGAGUGGUCCAGGGUUCGAGUCCCUGAGGACCCACCA
RNAcentral lists this transfer RNA (74 nucleotides) under Caldithrix sp. Its description in RNAcentral is "tRNA-Ser". The record is from RNAcentral. Lineage: Bacteria; Pseudomonadati; Calditrichota; Calditrichia; Calditrichales; Calditrichaceae.